GCGGGCGUGGCGGAACUGGUAGACGCGGCGGGUUUAGGUCCCGUUGUCUUCACAAGACUUGGGGGUUCGAGUCCCUCCGCCCGCACCA
RNAcentral lists this transfer RNA (88 nucleotides) under Pseudomonadota bacterium. RNAcentral's name for it is "tRNA-Leu". It matches the Rfam family "tRNA". From Rfam's summary of the family: Transfer RNA (tRNA) molecules are approximately 80 nucleotides in length. Their secondary structure includes four short double-helical elements and three loops (D, anti-codon, and T loops). Lineage: Bacteria; Pseudomonadati; Pseudomonadota. The record is from RNAcentral.